RNAcentral lists this ribosomal RNA (236 nucleotides) under uncultured Staphylococcus sp. RNAcentral's name for it is "partial 16S ribosomal RNA". It matches the Rfam family "Bacterial small subunit ribosomal RNA", at positions 104 to 334 of the family's 1533-position model. The record is from RNAcentral. Lineage: Bacteria; Bacillati; Bacillota; Bacilli; Caryophanales; Staphylococcaceae.
GGGUGAGUAACACGUGGAUAACCUACCUAUAAGACUGGGAUAACUUCGGGAAACCGGAGCUAAUACCGGAUAAUAUUUUAAACCGCAUGGUUCAAAAGUGAAAGACGGUCUUGCUGUCACUUAUAGAUGGAUCCGAGCUGCAUUAGCUAGUUGGUAAGGUAACGGCUUACCAAGGCAACGAUGCAUAGCCGACCUGAGAGGGUGAUCGGCCACACUGGAACUGAGACACGGUCCAG